RNAcentral lists this ribosomal RNA (546 nucleotides) under uncultured bacterium. Its description in RNAcentral is "bacterial SSU rRNA". It matches the Rfam family "Bacterial small subunit ribosomal RNA", at positions 65 to 599 of the family's 1533-position model. The record is from RNAcentral.
AGGGGCAGCAUGAUUUGUAGCAAUACAGAUUGAUGGCGACCGGCGCACGGGUGAGUAACGCGUAUGCAACUUACCUAUCAGAGGGGGAUAGCCCGGCGAAAGUCGGAUUAAUACCCCAUAAAACAGGGGUCCCGCAUGGGAAUAUUUGUUAAAGAUUCAUCGCUGAUAGAUAGGCAUGCGUUCCAUUAGGCAGUUGGCGGGGUAACGGCCCACCAAACCGACGAUGGAUAGGGGUUCUGAGAGGAAGGUCCCCCACAUUGGUACUGAGACACGGACCAAACUCCUACGGGAGGCAGCAGUGAGGAAUAUUGGUCAAUGGCCGAGAGGCUGAACCAGCCAAGUCGCGUGAAGGAAGAAGGAUCUAUGGUUUGUAAACUUCUUUUAUAGGGGAAUAAAGUGGAGGACGUGUCCUUUUUUGUAUGUACCCUAUGAAUAAGCAUCGGCUAACUCCGCGCCAGCAGCCGCGGUAAUACGGAGGAUGCGAGCGUUAUCCGGAUUUAUUGGGUUUAAAGGGUGCGUAGGUGGUGAUUUAAGUCAGCGGUGAAA